RNAcentral lists this transfer RNA (86 nucleotides) under Paracoccus chinensis. RNAcentral's name for it is "tRNA_Leu_TAA". It matches the Rfam family "tRNA". From Rfam's summary of the family: Transfer RNA (tRNA) molecules are approximately 80 nucleotides in length. The record is from RNAcentral. RNAcentral also lists the same sequence under 2 other names. Lineage: Bacteria; Pseudomonadati; Pseudomonadota; Alphaproteobacteria; Rhodobacterales; Paracoccaceae.
GCGGGCGUGGCGGAAUGGUAGACGCAUGGGACUUAAACUCCCUGGGGCUGAAGCCCGUGCGGGUUCGAGUCCCGCCGCCCGCACCA